AGACCGAUAGCGAACAAGUAGAGUGAUCGAAAGAUGAAAAGCACUUUGAAAAGAGGGUUAAAUAGCACGUGAAAUUGUUGAAAGGGAAGCGUUUGCGACCAGACCUUUUCCAGGGGGAUCAUCCGGUGUUCUCACCGGUGCACUUCCCUUGGUUUAGGCCAGCAUCGGUUUUCUUAGGGGGAUAAAGGCUUAGGGAACGUAGCUCUUUCGGGAGUGUUAUAGCCCUUUGCGUAAUACCCCUCGGGGGACCGAGGACCGCGCUCUGCAAGGAUGCUGGCGUAAUGGUCGUCAACGACCCGUCUUGAAACACGGACCAAGA
This 319-nucleotide ribosomal RNA is filed under the name Nodulisporium sp. CL108. RNAcentral describes it as "LSU rRNA". It matches the Rfam family "Eukaryotic large subunit ribosomal RNA", at positions 331 to 671 of the family's 3401-position model. The record is from RNAcentral. Lineage: Eukaryota; Fungi; Ascomycota; Sordariomycetes; Xylariales; Xylariaceae.